AAAAUACCUUGAUAAUUUUGAUCCGAUUGCGAAUAUAGUCCUGUGAGAAAUUAGAGGGAAAAUAUUCACAGAUUUCCCUGAAAAAUUCGCAUUUUAACGGAAAAUUGGCCACGGUUAAUGGCUUAUACGGCGUUCUCCCAUAGCACAGCAUAGCAAUUUGACACUCAUCGAACGGACAUCAUUCGAGUUCCUGCCACUAAUGACAUAUACAUUUGGCUCCAGGGAUCAUUUCCAGACCUCCCGUUGCGCAGAUGCUGACACUUCUGAAAGCAACUACGUCAUACGGAGCUUUUAGUCAUGCGACUUGGGCCCUUCAAUGUCUAUCCACAUUUUCCGCUUAGUCAAAGGUUGAGAAAACAAGGCAUCAUCAGAGAUUGCCUCGCUGCAGUGCGUGACAAGAGUCACCAAGUCUUCUGACGCAUACCUAUUGACACACAAGAAACAAAAAAAUCGCGAAAAAACAGUGCCGUGUUCCGCCUCGGUGAUUGCGACGAGAUAUUCCGACGAUUCCCGACAGCGCAUGUCUUCAAAACAACCCUAUUCACAAGCCAAUACGAUUGCAGUACAAGUGACAGUGGAUAAAUUUAACGAUCUAGAAGUAACCCUUUUUCUACCUAGAAGUGCGGUUACUUCAAUUACUUUAAAAGUACUUGGACUUUACUCUCGAAAUUGCAGUUUUUAAAAACUUAAAACUUGAAGUGAGUCACAAUUUUGAUCCUUUACCAGUUUAGUUCAGAUAUGGUGUGUUCCUCGCAGUUGUUAAUGACAGCCGUGAGGAUGUUGCUGUUGAGCUUAGGCGUGGCAGCCCGAUCUUCGGUUCCGAUCUCCCGGCUGAGUUUCCAGAAGGGCGACGUGAUCGUGCACGGAGGCCAGUACUUCUACCACAUCGUCAAGAGGGUGAACCUGCCCCCGUUCCACUCCUUCCUGGCGCUCUCCGACCACGAGCUCUUCUCGACGACCCUCGUCCGCGAGGUCGUCGACGGGCAGAAGCGAUGGCGUUCGCGGAUGCUCCUCGUCGACACGAAACGCUUGAGCUCGCGCGAGAAGGACGUCCUCGCCAAGAAGCUCAAACCCAAGAAGAAGCACAAGACGAUCGGGGACGUCGGGGUGGCUCUGGCCUGGCGCUUGAUCAGGAGCAAUCUCAAGCUCUACUUCCACGCGACGCGCUGCAACACGAACCAUUACGUUGACUACGUCACGUACGGCACGACGUUCGGCCGCUGGUGGAAGCCGCUCUACAUGCCCACGCACCCCAAGUGCCCGCUCCACCUCGUCGUCACGGAUACCUCCAACGUGUCCAACCGAUGGGGUCCGGGUUACAUCACGGCCUUGAAAACGAAGAAAGGGGAGAUUCAAUUGCCGUAG
RNAcentral lists this long non-coding RNA (1365 nucleotides) under Bemisia tabaci. Its description in RNAcentral is "lncRNA ENSSSA1NGG004776". Lineage: Eukaryota; Metazoa; Arthropoda; Insecta; Hemiptera; Aleyrodidae. The record is from RNAcentral.